GAGAAGAACGCAGCGAAAUGCGAUAAGUAAUGUGAAUUGCAGAAUUCAGUGAAUCAUCGAAUCUUUGAACGCACAUUGCGCCCGCCAGUAUUCUGGCGGGCAUGCCUGUUCGAGCGUCAUUUCAACCAUCAAGCCCCAGGCUUGUGUUGGGGACCUGCGGCUGCCGCAGGCCCUGAAAACCAGUGGCGGGCUCGCUGUCACACCGGGCGUAGUAGAUUUUAUCUCGCUCAGGGCGUGCUGCGGGUUCCGGCCGUUAAAAAGCCUUUUUUACCCAAGGUUGACCUCGGAUCAGGUAGGAAGACCCGCUGAACUUAAGCAUAUCAAUAAGCGGAGGA
Molecule: unclassified non-coding RNA, 335 nt
Filed under: soil metagenome
Description: partial contains 5.8S ribosomal RNA, internal transcribed spacer 2, and large subunit ribosomal RNA
Rfam family: 5.8S ribosomal RNA (bases 3-119)
Source: RNAcentral